Molecule: ribosomal RNA, 421 nt
Filed under: Bacillus sp. (in: firmicutes)
Lineage: Bacteria; Bacillati; Bacillota; Bacilli; Caryophanales; Bacillaceae
Description: Bacillus sp. (in: Bacteria) partial 16S ribosomal RNA
Source: RNAcentral
UCYUWCGGGAGGCAGCAGUAGGGAAUUUUCCGCAAUGGAGGAAAGUCUGAMGGAGCARCGCCGCGUGAGUGAUGAAGRCUUUCGGGUMGUAAARCUCUGUUGUUAGGGAAGWACAAGUGYUAGUUGAAUAAGYUGGCACCUUGWCGGUACYUAACCAGAAAGCCACGGCUAAYUACGUGCCAGCAGCCGCGGUAAUACGUAGGUGGCAAGCGUUAUCCGGAAUUAUUGGGCGUAAAGCGCGCGCAGGUGGUUUCUUAAGUCUGAUGUGAAAGCCCACGGCUCAACCGUGGAGGGUCAUUGGAAACUGGGAGACUUGAGUGCAGAAGAGGAAAGUGGAAUUCCAUGUGUAGCGGUGAAAUKCGUAGAGAUAUGGAGGAACACCAGUGGCGAAGGCGACUUUCUKGUCKGUWAACUKGACAAC